RNAcentral lists this small nucleolar RNA (113 nucleotides) under Arabidopsis lyrata subsp. lyrata. RNAcentral describes it as "Plant small nucleolar RNA R71". It matches the Rfam family "Plant small nucleolar RNA R71". From Rfam's summary of the family: R71 is a member of the C/D box family of snoRNAs containing the C (UGAUGA) and D (CUGA) box motifs. Multiple nearly identical copies of this snoRNA have been identified in Arabidopsis, and it is thought to function as a 2'-O-ribose methylation guide for 18S ribosomal RNA. Lineage: Eukaryota; Viridiplantae; Streptophyta; Magnoliopsida; Brassicales; Brassicaceae. The record is from Rfam by way of RNAcentral.
AAACCAUGGUGAAGACAUUGCAUCUGAUAUCCCUUGAAGCACUCCCAUGCUUAUGCUUCACAAAAGGUCUCAGCAUUCUUCUAGGUGAAUUCGGGAAUCUCAUUCCGGAGCCU